This 493-nucleotide ribosomal RNA is filed under the name uncultured bacterium. Its description in RNAcentral is "bacterial SSU rRNA". It matches the Rfam family "Bacterial small subunit ribosomal RNA", at positions 28 to 516 of the family's 1533-position model. The record is from RNAcentral.
GAUGAACGCUAGCGGCAGGCUUAAUACAUGCAAGUCGUGGGGCAGCAUGAGUAGCAAUACUUGAUGGCGACCGGCAAACGGGUGAGGAACACGUACACAACCUUCCUUCAAGCGGGGAAUAGCCCAGAGAAAUUUGGAUUAAUACCCCAUAAUAUAUUUGAUAAGGCAUCUUAUUUAUAUUAAAGCUUCGGCACUUGAUGAUGGGUGUGCGGCUGAUUAGAUAGUUGGCGGGGUAACGGCCCACCAAGUCUACGAUCAGUAGCUGAUGUGAGAGCAUGAUCAGCCACACGGGCACUGAAACACGGGCCCGACUCCUACGGGAGGCAGCAGUAAGGAAUAUUGGACAAUGGACGAAAGUCUGAUCCAGCCAUGCCGCGUGAAGGAUUAAGGUCCUCUGGAUUGUAAACUUCUUUUAUAUGGACGAAAAAAGGCAUUCUUGUUCACUUGACGGUACCAUAUGAAUAAGCACCGGCUAACUCCGUCGCCAGCAGCC